CCUACAGGGGGCUGCAGUGGGGAAUAUUGGACAAUGGGGGCAACCCUGAUCCAGCCAUGCCGCGUGUGUGAAGAAGGCCCUCGGGUUGUAAAGCACUUUCAGUGAGGAAGAACGCCUGGUGGUUAAUACCCAUCAGGAAAGACAUCACUCACAGAAGAAGCACCGGCUAACUCCGUGCCAGCAGCCGCGGUAAUACGGAGGGUGCGAGCGUUAAUCGGAAUUACUGGGCGUAAAGCGCGCGUAGGUGGCUUGAUAAGCCGGUUGUGAAAGCCCCGGGCUCAACCUGGGAACGGCAUCCGGAACUGUCAAGCUAGAGUGCAGGAGAGGAAGGUAGAAUUCCCGGUGUAGCGGUGAGAUGCGUAGAGAUCGGGAGGAAUACCAGUGGCGAAGGCGGCCUUCUGGACUGACACUGACACUGAGGUGCGAAAGCGUGGGUAGCAAACAGGAUUAGAUACCCGUGUAGUC
RNAcentral lists this ribosomal RNA (465 nucleotides) under Vreelandella stevensii. RNAcentral's name for it is "partial 16S ribosomal RNA". It matches the Rfam family "Bacterial small subunit ribosomal RNA", at positions 338 to 795 of the family's 1533-position model. Lineage: Bacteria; Pseudomonadati; Pseudomonadota; Gammaproteobacteria; Oceanospirillales; Halomonadaceae. The record is from RNAcentral.